UAGCGACAGGCUUAACACAUGCAAGUCGAGGGGCAGCACAGGUAGCAAUACCGGGUGGCGACCGGCGCACGGGUGAGUAACGCGUAUGCAACUUGCCUAUCAGAGGGGGAUAACCCGGCGAAAGUCGGACUAAUACCGCAUGAAGCAGGGGCCCCGCAUGGGGAUAUUUGCUAAAGAUUCAUCGCUGAUAGAUAGGCAUGCGUUCCAUUAGGCAGUUGGCGGGGUAACGGCCCACCAAACCGACGAUGGAUAGGGGUUCUGAGAGGAAGGUCCCCCACAUUGGUACUGAGACACGGACCAAACUCCUACGGGAGGCAGCAGUGAGGAAUAUUGGUCAAUGGCCGAGAGGCUGAACCAGCCAAGUCGCGUGAGGGAUGAAGGUUCUAUGGAUCGUAAACCUCUUUUAUAAGGAAAUAAAGUGCGGGACGUGUCCCGUUUUGUAUGUACCUUAUGAAUAAGGAUCGGCUAACUCCGUGCCAGCAGCCGCGGUAAUACGGAGGACCCGAGCGUUAUCCGGAUUUAUUGGGUUUAAAGGGUGCGUAGGCGGCCUUUUAAGUCAGCGGUGAAAGUCUGUGGCUCAACCAUAGAAUUGCCGUUGAAACUGGGGGGCUUGAGUAUGUUUGAGGCAGGCGGAAUGCGUGGUGUAGCGGUGAAAUGCAUAGAUAUCACGCAGAACCCCGAUUGCGAAGGCAGCCUGCCAAGCCAUUACUGACGCUGAUGCACGAAAGCGUGGGGAUCAAACAGGAUUAGAUACCCUGGUAGUCCACGCAGUAAACGAUGAUCACUAGCUGUUUGCGAUACACUGUAAGCGGCACAGCGAAAGCGUUAAGUGAUCCACCUGGGGAGUACGCCGGCAACGGUGAAACUCAAAGGAAUUGACGGGGGCCCGCACAAGCGGAGGAACAUGUGGUUUAAUUCGAUGAUACGCGAGGAACCUUACCCGGGUUUGAACGCAUUCGGACCGAGGUGGAAACACCUUUUCUAGCAAUAGCCGUUUGCGAGGUGCUGCAUGGUUGUCGUCAGCUCGUGCCGUGAGGUGUCGGCUUAAGUGCCAUAACGAGCGCAACCCUUGCCACUAGUUACUAACAGGUAAAGCUGAGGACUCUGGUGGGACUGCCAGCGUAAGCUGCGAGGAAGGCGGGGAUGACGUCAAAUCAGCACGGCCCUUACAUCCGGGGCGACACACGUGUUACAAUGGCGUGGACAAAGGGAGGCCACCUGGCGACAGGGAGCGAAUCCCCAAACCACGUCUCAGUUCGGAUCGGAGUCUGCAACCCGACUCCGUGAAGCUGGAUUCGCUAGUAAUCGCGCAUCAGCCAUGGCGCGGUGAAUACGUUCCCGGGCCUUGUACACACCGCCCGUCAAGCCAUGGGAGCCGGGGGUACCUGAAGUCCGUAACCGCGAGGAUCGGCCUAGGGUAAAACUGGUGACUGGG
Molecule: ribosomal RNA, 1435 nt
Filed under: uncultured organism
Description: 16S ribosomal RNA
Rfam family: Bacterial small subunit ribosomal RNA
Source: RNAcentral